RNAcentral lists this unclassified non-coding RNA (216 nucleotides) under Hevea brasiliensis (rubber tree). Lineage: Eukaryota; Viridiplantae; Streptophyta; Magnoliopsida; Malpighiales; Euphorbiaceae. The record is from RNAcentral.
GGUUCCUGUGACCAAGAUCAAUAACAAACCUGUAAACAUUUAGGUCCUCCAUUUAUUAAAGCACAAACAUUCAAUAUGGAUGUAUUCAAGCAAUUUAAGGAGAGGCCGUGAAUUACAUACAUAACUAAAAUAUGCAGUGGACCUCAUUAGGUUCAAGACAAUUCAUUACCAUUGCCAGAAAGCCUUCCUAUGGCAAUGUGCUUUGGAGCUAGAGAG